GCAUUGGUGGUUCAGAGGUAGAAUCUUUGCCUGCCAUGCGGGAGGCCCAGGUUUGCUUCCCAGCCUAUGCA
RNAcentral lists this transfer RNA (71 nucleotides) under Salmo salar (Atlantic salmon). It matches the Rfam family "tRNA". From Rfam's summary of the family: Transfer RNA (tRNA) molecules are approximately 80 nucleotides in length. The record is from Rfam by way of RNAcentral. Lineage: Eukaryota; Metazoa; Chordata; Actinopteri; Salmoniformes; Salmonidae.